RNAcentral lists this small nucleolar RNA (160 nucleotides) under Medicago truncatula (barrel medic). Its description in RNAcentral is "snoRNA gene16296". It matches the Rfam family "Small nucleolar RNA snoR2/U65". The record is from Rfam by way of RNAcentral. Lineage: Eukaryota; Viridiplantae; Streptophyta; Magnoliopsida; Fabales; Fabaceae.
GGUCUAUUGGUCCAUCUCUGGUAGCUAUAUAUGAGCUCUGACCAGAAAUGCUAUGAUUAGACCAAAAUCAAUAGUGCAUGUCAUUUGAUUCGCAUCUUGAUAGGAAUCUGCUGAUCCUAUAUACUAUGAUUAUGCAGAGCCGAUUUGUGCGAUUACAUUU